UACAGAGGUCUCAAGCGUUGUUCGGAUUUAUUGGGCGUAAAGGGUGCGUAGGCGGCGCGGUAAGUCGGGUGUGAAAUCUCGGAGCUUAACUUCGAAACUGCAUUCGAUACUGCCGUGCUUGAGGACUGGAGAGGAGACUGGAAUUUACGGUGUAGCGGUGAAAUGCGUAGAUAUCGUAAGGAAGACCAGUGGCGAAGGCGGGUCUCUGGACAGUUCCUGACGCUGAGGCACGAAGGCCAGGGGAGCAAACGGG
Molecule: ribosomal RNA, 253 nt
Filed under: uncultured bacterium
Lineage: Bacteria
Description: partial 16S ribosomal RNA
Rfam family: Bacterial small subunit ribosomal RNA
Source: RNAcentral